Molecule: non-coding RNA, 515 nt
Organism: Pelobates cultripes (western spadefoot toad)
Lineage: Eukaryota; Metazoa; Chordata; Amphibia; Anura; Pelobatidae
Source: the annotation of a GenBank genome assembly
CAGCAAGACAGCUGAGUUAAGCCAUCUUGUGCUCGGCACUCUGCAAUUCACACACCUUGUGACCAUGCCAAAAACAAAAUGCCAUUAAUGUGUGUUUUAAGGGGCUGAGAAAAUGUUAGGCAUUGCUUGUAGCGUUGGACAUGAUGUUGAGGUCUGAUAUUCAAUAUUGGUAGUCAGAGAAAGGUGUGUCUUUAAAUGAUAACGUGACAUCCAUUCAAGUUCAAACAAAUUGUGAUUCGUGAUCCGAAUUCUGGGCAAUCGUAGGUCGCCUGAAGUCUGUAACUCAGAAUUGUCAUAUGACUGUAUCACAAAACAAAAAUAAAUGGACAGUGAACAAGCCAUUUUAUUUGAUUUGUGAUUCGAAGUUCUUGGAAAGGCACCAAAAAAAAAGGAACAUGAUGUUUGCAGUGUACUUCAGUGCCACUACCGAUGCCUUGCAAAUUGCAAUACAAUUUGUGGCAGUUUAAUGCACAAGUGAACAUUAAAUAUUAGUAACUUUCUUUUCUUGUGAGUGU